This 474-nucleotide ribosomal RNA is filed under the name Flavobacterium sp. 01WB03.1-36. Its description in RNAcentral is "bacterial SSU rRNA". It matches the Rfam family "Bacterial small subunit ribosomal RNA", at positions 1 to 484 of the family's 1533-position model. Lineage: Bacteria; Pseudomonadati; Bacteroidota; Flavobacteriia; Flavobacteriales; Flavobacteriaceae. The record is from RNAcentral.
UGAGCUUGAUCCUGGCUCAGGAUGAACGCUAGCGGCAGGCUUAACACAUGCAAGUCGAGGGGUAUAGUUCUUCGGAAUUAGAGACCGGCGCACGGGUGCGUAACGCGUAUGCAAUCUACCUUUACAGAGGGAUAGCCCAGAGAAAUUUGGAUUAAUACCUCAUAGUAUAAUGACUUGGCAUCAAGACAUUAUUAAAGUCACAACGGUAAAAGAUGAGCAUGCGUCCCAUUAGCUAGUUGGUAAGGUAACGGCUUACCAAGGCUACGAUGGGUAGGGGUCCUGAGAGGGAGAUCCCCCACACUGGUACUGAGACACGGACCAGACUCCUACGGGAGGCAGCAGUGAGGAAUAUUGGACAAUGGGCGCAAGCCUGAUCCAGCCAUGCCGCGUGCAGGAUGACGGUCCUAUGGAUUGUAAACUGCUUUUAUACGAGAAGAAACACUACUUCGUGAAGUAGCUUGACGGUAUCGUAGA